CGGCGUAAAGCGUAGUUAAGAUAAAAAACAAAUAGGGCCGAACAACUCUCAAAGUAGUUAAAUGCAUUCGAGACCAAUAAGCACAUCCACGAAGGUGACCCUAAUUACUCUGACCCUACGAAAGCUAUAACACAAACUGGGAUUAGAUACCCCACUAUGUAUUGCUGUUAAAAUUGAUGGUACCCCACUCGAACCAUUCGCCCGGGAAUUACAAGCCCAAGCUCAAAACCCAAAGGACCUGGCGGUGCUUUAGAUCCCCCUAGAGGAGCCUGUUCUAUAACUGACAACCCCCGAUAAACCUCACCACCCCUUGCUUAAUCCGUCUAUAUACCACCGUCGCAAGCUCACCCUACCUGAAGGUCUAAAAGUGAGCCCCAACAGUUCUACUGUGAACGUCAGGUCGAGGUGUCGCGUACGGGGUGGGAAGAAAUGGGCUACAUUCCCUAACGAAGGGAAUACGAAUGGUGAUUUGAAAAAAUUACACUGAAGGUGGAUUUAGUAGUAAGGAAGGAAUAGAGUGCCCUCCUGAAAACGGCCCUAAAGCGCGUACAAACCGCCCGUCACUCUCUCCGAGAUACUUCUAUUAGUUCCUAAUACACAACAAUUCAUGAGGUGAGAUAAGUCGUAACAUGGUAAGCGUACCGGAA
RNAcentral lists this ribosomal RNA (647 nucleotides) under Malacocephalus occidentalis (western softhead grenadier). RNAcentral describes it as "partial 12S ribosomal RNA". It matches the Rfam family "Bacterial small subunit ribosomal RNA", at positions 556 to 1510 of the family's 1533-position model. Lineage: Eukaryota; Metazoa; Chordata; Actinopteri; Gadiformes; Macrouridae. The record is from RNAcentral.